This is a long non-coding RNA of Aphis gossypii (cotton aphid), 1009 nucleotides long. RefSeq lists it as uncharacterized. NCBI's taxonomy places the organism in Eukaryota, Metazoa, Arthropoda, Insecta, Hemiptera, Aphididae. The record is from RefSeq and is a predicted model, not a curated record. The transcript is spliced from 6 exons.
AAAAUAAAUGAUUUGUUUCUAUCUAGGUUUGACGCUCAAUCACAAAUGUACUAUUCAGUUGAUACAGUUUUAGAAAAAGAGGAUGCAGUCCAUUUCCCAACUGAAUUUCUUAACUCUUUAACACCUCCUGGAGUCCCACCACAUAAACUGAUUUUAAAAAUAGGGGCACCUAUUAUUUUAAUGAGAAAUUUGAGCCCACCUACACUUUGCAACGGUACAAGACUAUAAAUCAAAAAAUUGAGAAGUUCAUUACUCGAGUGCAUAAUAUUAACAGGCUGUGUUAUACCUACAAAAUGUACAUACACAAUUUACAUACAUCUGAGAAAUCUUGCAAUAGCGAAGCAUUGCCGGGUCAGCUAGUACCUUCGACCAUAUCACCACAGACGUCACAUGUGGCAGGAGGUGUUGAGAUGCAGCUUGCACAAUACCAUCCAUGGCCACAGUCCGACAGUAUGUAUUGCGCCUGGUCUGGUACAUAUUGUACAUGACGCAUACAUCCAAGACACUGACUUCCAGUUAGAUCAAGUUAACAUGCAUUAUAUAGAUGGGCUGUGUUGUGGGAAAUUCUGCUUUGCAAAUUCCGCAUUUAUCUAAUUGAGUCGCACACUCAUCACAGCACCAAAAUGUUGGCCGACUUUACUUGGCUCCAACUUUCAAGGCAAACAAAACAUCUGUCUACAGGGUCACCUUUAGAAUAAAAAGGAUAUCUAAAUCAGCUGCCUGGUGAGCUGGUUGAGUAUUUUAUUCUGAAACUAAAUGGAAAGUUAUUAAGCUAAUGUUUCAGUAUUAUAACAUUUAAAAUCAAUCUACCGUCAACAAAAGCAUCAUCUAUGAUAAGCUCAACUAUUUCAUAGACCUCUUCCUCCGCUAACGUAUCAUUGAUAUGUGGCUGUUCAACUUCAAAACAAAUUAAAUUGUAGAAUAAUUGUAUAUUACCGAGAAGAUGGCGACCUUCAAUUAAUCUAAGGUUACCACCUGGUUGUUGGCGCACAUUUGGAUGCCGGACCAU